Molecule: long non-coding RNA, 703 nt
Organism: Archocentrus centrarchus (flier cichlid)
Lineage: Eukaryota; Metazoa; Chordata; Actinopteri; Cichliformes; Cichlidae
Exons: 3
Source: RefSeq, a predicted model, not a curated record
GACCUCAGAUUCUUUCACUGCAGUGGACGACAUACAAACAUAGAAAUAAUAUAAGGUGCAGCUGAGAAAAAGCUUCACCAUGAUGACAAAGACAUCUUUCAUCUUUCUUCUGUUUGUUGCCUGCUGCAACGCCCAGACCAACACAACCAUUGCUGAAUCAACAACUACAACUGUUGCUACAAGCACAGUUGCAGAAAUGACAACAACUGCCACUGCAGAAACAACCACACCUACCUUAACAACCACGGCUGCUGCAACAACAACCACAGCUGCAGCAAUGACAACCACGGCUGCCCCUACAACCACAUCUGCAGGAACAACAACUGCAACUUCCCCUACAACUACAAUUUCAGAUAUGACAACCACAUCAGCCCCUACAACCACUGGUGAAUCAACAGCUACAACAACAGCUACUGCUGAAUCAACUACAAUUUCCACUACAACUAUAGCUGCAGAAACAACAACAACCACUGCAACAACCACAGCUGCAGCAAUGACAUCUUCAACAACAAGCACACUGCCCCCUACAACCAUUGCAGACUCAAUGAGUACAAUUGCCCCUUCAUCUACAACUGCAGAACAAACAACUGCUGCAACAACUACAGCUGCAGAAACGACCACAGCUGCCCCAACAACCACGGCUUCUCCAACAGCAACCACACUGGCCCCUACAGUUACCGCUGAAUCAACAACUACAACUUCC